GCAGCCAAGGCACUGCUAUCUUCAAAGUCGCCCUGGCUGGCCAGCUAGCAAGGUGGCUAGUAAGGAGUCUGAAGCCUCAGCAGCAGCAGGUAAAAAGUGGCGACGCGGUGAACUAAGGGGCUGGCAAGUGGGGAGGAGAUGUCUGGUGUCGACGUUCCCGAGCUCAGUUUGGCCGCCUCGCUCCAGCAGUGAGCAUGGCCCUCCUCUUAUGGAUCAAACAGUGGUGCUCUGUACUUUGGCGGCCUUCCUCCUCUACUACAAUACGUUGCACGCCGAUUUUGCAUACGAUGACAGCCGGGCAAUCAAAACGAAUCCGGAUGUGAAUCCGUCGACGCCGUGGAUCAACUUGUUGUUCAAUGACUUCUGGGGCACGCCGCUGACCCAUUCGGGCUCGCACAAGUCCUACCGCCCGCUCUGUGUUCUCUCCUUCCGUUUCAACCAUUGGCUGCACGAGCUGCAGCCAGCUGGAUAUCAUUUGUUCAACGUCGUGCUCCACUGCCUGGCCACGGCCCUCUUCACCCUCCUGGCGCGCUCCCUCCUACCCCCCAAAGCUGGGCUGGCCACGGCCAUCGCCGGCUGUCUCUUCGCCGCCCAUCCCAUCCACACCGAGGCCGUGGCCGGCAUCGUCGGGCGGGCCGAUAUCGGCGCCGCCGUCUUUUUCAUUCUCGCCUUCCUCUCGUACCGACGCUACACGGCCGUUCGCUCCGGCCUGGCCCACCUGCGCCGACAGCAGCUAAUCAGGACCCAAUCGACGCGAUCAAUUUCCAGCCAUAAAUGUAGCAACAAUAACAGCCACGGUAGCGGCGGCGGCAGUUCAUUGCCGCCGCUGCGCUCGUUCCUGUCGGCCGCAAUCUUUACGUCCAUCAAGUGGAAUGGCGACGAUCAAGUUGGCGGAGAAUUACUGCGACCCAACACCCUGCCAAGAAGCGGCGGGCCGGCAUGUGGAGGACCCAAUUUGACUGUUCUGGUGGCCAGAAAGUGGCUGUGGCUCCUGGUGACGCUCCUCUUCGCCGCCUGCUCCAUGCUCACCAAGGAGCACGGCAUCACCGUUCUGGCCGUCUGCGCCGUCUACGACGUUUUCGUUCAAUCUCGACUCAAGCCUAAGGAUUUAUUUUCGUCCGUCCUGUUCCAGGAAAAGUAUCGAGGACUAUCUGAAGGAUUGUCGACUCUCUUCAUGGGCACCCUGUUGAUGGUGGCCGUCCGUCUGCAGCUAAUGGGCUCCAAAGCGCCCGAGUUCGCACCUGCCGACAACCCGUCGGCCGAUUGCCCGUCGCGUUUGACCCGCACUCUCACCUUCCUCUACUUGCCGGCCUUCAACUUGUGGCUACUCGUCCAGCCCACCGUCCUCAGCUUCGACUGGUCCAUGGAGGCCAUCCCGUUGAUCCACAGCCUGGCGGACAUCCGCAAUUUGGCCACGGCCAUCUUCUACUUGACUCUAGCCUAUCUCGGAUGGAACGCCCUGUUCCGGCGGCGGGACUUUGACGACAAUUGUGGAGAUCUGCGCUCGGCUUCCGCCUCGCCCGUUCCUGGCUCCGCUUCUUCGGUUCUCAGUGGCAACUUGAUCUCUUCGCCCCUGCCGGGCGAUUCGUCUUCCUCUUCGCUAGUGCGAGGCACCAACGGAUGCGUCCCGUCGGUGGCGGAUGCCGUUCUGGGAGUCCACUGCUACUCGUCGCCGUCGUCGGCUGUGGGUUGCUACGGCAACGGCAACGGCAGCACAAGCGGCAGUCUCAGCAGUAGCUCCUCGCUUCGAUCGGAGAGGACGAGAUGGUCGUCCAACAGUUCCGUCGACGUGGACGGGACUGGCGCCGGCCGGAAGAGCGGAGUGGAUUUGACUGUGAUAGCCUUGUCGAUGCUGGUGUUGCCCUUCAUCCCCGCCACCAAUCUCUUCUUCUACGUGGGUUUCGUCGUGGCAGAGCGAGUCCUCUACAUCCCGUCCAUGGGCUAUUGCCUCCUGGUGGCGUUGGGCUUCCACCUGAUCGACGACUGCCUCCGCCAGAAGCAAGUGCGACUCAAACAGCAGCAGCACAAGGAGCGACACAGGUGGAAGCAGAUGCAAGCCAGCAACUCUCUUCGGCUCCUGUUUCGCUGGGCAUUUGUUCUUCUACUCGUCGUCUACUCGGCCAGGACCAUCCAGCGAAACCGAGACUGGCACACGGAGGAAACUCUGUACCGCUCGGGAAUCAGCGUCAAUCCUCCAAAAGCAUACGGAAAUUUAGCAAACAUACUCAGUUCGACCGGACGUAAGGAUGAAGCCGAACAGGCUUACAAGAAGGCUCUCAGCUAUCGAAAUAACAUGGCGGACGUCCAUUAUAAUUUGGGUAUAUUGUAUCAAGAGCAGAAACGUUACGAAGAGGCUAUACAAUCCUACCGAUCGGCGGUUCACUAUCGUCCUCGAAUGGCCAUGGCUCAUUUGAACAUGGGUCUAGUCCUGGCUUUGAUGGGCAUGAAAGACGAGGCGAUCGAGGUGUACAGACGCUGUUCGCAGCUCGACGGAUCCGGCUUGAAGGACCCACGGACCCACGAGACCACCAAGAUUUCGGCCCUUUUCAAUCUGGGUCGUCUUCACGCUGACGAUGGCCAGUACACAAAGGCCAUCGACGUCUACAACGAGGCUAUUCAACGCAUGCCGACACAUUACCAGCCCCAGUCGCUGUACAACAUGCUGGGGGAAGCCUACUUUAAGCUGGAUCGGCUGAAGGAAGCGGAACACUGGUACCGUGAAGCCCUCCGCGCUAAAGCCGAUCACAUUCCGGCUCAUCUGACCUAUGGGAAACUUCUCACCAAAAUGAAUCGUCUCAGCGAGGCUGAGGACAUGUUCCUGCGUGCGAAAUCCCUGUCACCCAACGAUUCGACCGUCUAUCAGCAUUACGGUCAAUAUUUAUCGGAAUGUGAGAGACACACCGAAGCGGCAGAGCAAUACGUCCGAGCUGCUUCACUCGCGCCAACUGAAUAUGAAACCGUUUUUAACGCAGCCAACACGCUUCGCCAAGCAGGCAGGCACUCGGAGGCUGAACAGUAUUACAGAUCCGCCGUUAAAAUCCGGCCUUUGGAAGCGACAAGUCACAUGAACUUGGGUGCGAUGCUUCACGUCAAUGGCAAGUUAACAGAAGCCGAGCAAAGUUAUCUAGAAGCUUUACGGCUCAAACCAGACGAUCACAUCACUCGGAUGAACUUGCAGAAGUUACGUCACCUGUUGAUGAAGAAAGGUAUCGUGUCCUCUUCCUCUCAUUCGUCUCCCCCUUAGUGAAUGGUGCGGGCCCGACGGAGAUGACACGCCAACUCGCGUGAUGGUGACCCUUGUAUCGCGUGCUGUGUACCCCCAGAAGACUGGGCACUGUGGAUUAUCAUUUUUCCUUGGCCGAUGGCUCGCUGAUCAUGCUCUUCCCAUGACAAAGACGUGAGGAGAGUCGAACCAAUCGAACCUGUGAUAGAAUAUUGUACGAUGUGUAUUAGUACAUAACUCCCUGUCACGUAUGCUGAUGAUACGUAAACCUUUUCAGUUUUCACCAACUCUUGCGCACUUUGCUAAGAAUGAGAGAACCCGGUACUGUCAGUGACUAAUUCUGACAUUCUGACUAGUUUCUUGCUCUCUGUAGUAUUUAUUCCCACAUAAAAAGGCGCUAUAUAAAUUAAAGAAAUAAAUUUCUUCCUCGCCACAAUUUGCCUUUAAACCGCUAUAAAUGGAUUUUUUAGAGAUUCAUACAGUUAAUUUUUCUCGGCCACUUUAGAAUGUUAUAUUUCAAAAGUUCGUAUUCAAAUUUGGGACCAGUUCAAUAAAAAAAAUCAUACAAAAAGAAAAAAAAACAACAAAAAUACAAACAAAAAAACAAAACAAACAAAACAAAACAAUAAAAAAAUCAAAAUGUACGUAAACCCAAAUGUAGUCUGUCACGAUUUUUUUCUUCGUCGUUCAAAUUAUUUAAAAUUGUUUGUUUUAAAAGUUUUGCGACUAAAACAAUGAUGUCCUGGGGAAUUUUGUAAGACUUUUACGACAAAAGAACCAAAGAAAAAACAAAACAAAAAAGAAGCAAGUUACAUGAAAUCCACAUUUCCCGCUGGUUAGACAGAAACAAAGUAUCAACGUAUCAACACUUUAUUAACAAAUUCGAUUCAUAUGAAAGAAAAGCAAUACUUUCCUUAAUGUAGUCCUUCGUCAUUUUGUUGUCAAACCAAUGGCUGAUCAGAACACGGCUACGUGUUCAGAACAAAAAUCAAAAUAAAAUACACUUUUUAAAAGAGCCGAUGCAUUAUUAUGUAUUUAUCGAAAACAACUUCAAAGGAUGCUGAGGUGAAACAAUACUUUCUAGAAGCUCAACACAUACUUUCUAGAAGCAGACUUGCCACGAUAGGAAUCUUCUAUUAAUCACGAACCCAAUCAAAAUAAAAAAAUAUUUCAAUCAAGUGGAAAAUUUAGAUCGCAAUCACAAUCAAUUUUUCAAUCAAUUUUGCGCGCCACCUAGUUAUAGAAUUGAAAUUGAUUACAUUUACGAAAUGAUUUGAAUUGCUCAAUAUGUUGUCAAAGCAGCAGAGAUCACACGGCAAGUCUGUCGACUUGAGAAAUAGUAUAGUUGUAAAAACAAUGAAUACGGACACCCCCUGGGUUACAUACAAAUGCAAUACAAAAAAGAAAAAAAAAGAACAAAAUCUUUCUUUUUAUAGUUAAUUAACUGUAAGUAAAGGUUAUUUGAAAAUAUAAGGCCUUAUCGACGAAUCUUCUUUGUUUAUUAAUUAUUAUCGCAUAUUUGGGCUCAAACUGAAAUCCCUUGCUGCGCGCGCGAGUUUCCCGAUAGGAGUGGUCCAACAAUUAGAAAAUAGUUUUCCUCAAGUCUAUAUUUUGAUUUUCCGAUUUUCCCUUUAUCCUUUAUGGUAAAAUUUAUUGCACUCCGGAGAACUCUAGUGUCAAAAGAGGCUGUUGGUUUAUAUUACAGAUGAAUCUGUUCAAGUACAACCAUUUGAGGAAAAUGGUUACUUGGUUAGAAUAGAUUUCAAUCCUACAGUUCCUCAUUGUUCACUUGCCAGCCUUAUUGGCCUCUGCCUGAGAGGCAAGAUUCAGAAAAAUAUGGUGGAAAGGAUCAAAUUGGACAUAGUUAUUGCAGAGGGUAAACACAGCACAGAAGAAGAGAUCAAUAAACAAAUCAACGAUAAGGAAAGAGUCGCCGCCGCCGAUAGUUGAUAGUUGCAUAAGAGAUGAAGAAUAAGAUUUUUUUUUGAAGAAAAAAAAUAAAAGACAAUAAAUUUCCUCAGAGUAUUUUGUAUUCCAUUCCAUGAGAUAUCAACUCACAAGUAUGAAAGGCACUGCAGAGUCAAUUUCAUCGCACAUAUACACCCUGGAUUGAUUUUAGUAUAAGACUAGAACAAUUACCAAAAAGCUCCCUGGUAUAUUUAUAAAUUUUGCAAGUGUUAUCUCUGGUAAGAAGAAAAGCAUAACCAAAAGCGACAAGCAAGUUUGUUUCGUGAAAGACUUGUAAACUUAA
This 5474-nucleotide unclassified non-coding RNA is filed under the name Daphnia pulex (common water flea). Its description in RNAcentral is "protein O-mannosyl-transferase TMTC2-like, transcript variant X2". The record is from RNAcentral. Lineage: Eukaryota; Metazoa; Arthropoda; Branchiopoda; Diplostraca; Daphniidae.